This 481-nucleotide ribosomal RNA is filed under the name uncultured Saprospiraceae bacterium. RNAcentral's name for it is "bacterial SSU rRNA". It matches the Rfam family "Bacterial small subunit ribosomal RNA", at positions 28 to 505 of the family's 1533-position model. Lineage: Bacteria; Pseudomonadati; Bacteroidota; Saprospiria; Saprospirales; Saprospiraceae. The record is from RNAcentral.
GAUGAACGCUAGCGGGAGGCUUAAUACAUGCAAGUCGAACGGUAACAUUAGAGCUUGCUCUAGAUGACGAGUGGCGCACGGGUGAGUAACGCGUACACAACCUACCUACAAGAGGGGGAUAGCCACUGGAAACGGUGAAUAAUACCCCAUAGAAUUACGAGAUCGAUAAUUUUGUAAUUAAAGUUUCGGCGCUUGUAGAUGGGUGUGCGUACUAUUAGGUAGUUGGUAGGGUAACGGCCUACCAAGCCGACGAUAGUUAGGGGGCGUGAGAGCGUGAUCCCCCACACGGGUACUGAGACACGGACCCGACUCCUACGGGAGGCAGCAGUAAGGAAUAUUGGACAAUGGGGGCAACCCUGAUCCAGCCAUCCCGCGUGUAGGAAGACUGCCCUAUGGGUUGUAAACUACUUUUAGAUAGGAAGAAAGGUAUGUAUUUAUAUGUAUUUGACGGUACUAUCAGAAUAAGCACCGGCUAACUCCG